AUAUAGAACUCUUUAAGGCCACACGUAAGGGGAAUGUGCGCUCACCUGAAGGCUAUUCUCCAGGAACCUAAAGGGGUUAGAACAGCAGGAGUCCUAAGAAAGCAUUUCUUUUUGUAAAAGCCUGGGGGAGGAGAACAACAGCCACUGUGGGAAAGGCAGGAAACAACUAAGAUCCUUCUCCAAAUAGAACAAAAGACUCAAACGGAAAGGAUUUACUGCAAAGACCCACAUUUCCCAGUGCGACUUAGAAAGGCCAUUUGAAGACACAGCAAGAAGGUGGCCAUUUACAAGCAAGAAAGAGAGCUGUCACCAGAAACCAAAUCUGCUAGCACCUUGAUCUCAAACUUCCCAGCCUCUAGAACUGUGAGAAAAUAAAUGCUCUUCUCCAAAGACGUCACUGGACACUCAAAUCAAAGAUUGGAGAGAUCCCAAAAAAGCAUUCCUCAUAGUAGGAGCCAGAGUGAGGAGAAUAGCAGCAGUGAAUCCUACCAAGAUAUGUUUCUUCUAUUUCAUCUAUGGAACAAAACCCCUAAAUGUGAAAGAGUGUCUGGCUACGUCUUCUCCAUGUGGGACACCUACCAAAGCAUGGCGUGCCAAGUGGUGCCAUGUCCGCACCCAGGAUCCGAACCCACGAACCCCAGGCCGCAGAGAAGUGGAACGUGGGAACUUAACUGCUGCGCUACUGGGCCAGCCCUCAGCACUUUUGAACAUGUGGCCUUGUGCUGACACUUCUCUGCUAGACUCCUAACCUUCCAAUAAGACACUUUCAUCCAUGGGUGAUUGUCUAAACCAGUGCUUCUUGGAGAGAAGAUAGUAGGAAACUCUUAUUCUGCCAUGGUAAUAACAUCACUAUUAACUUUUUUUCCCUGAUACUCCUUAUAUAGAGGUUUCUAUCUGCAAGGUGAGCCCUGUCCCCAUUUAUGUCUCCAUCUUAUCUUAUAAAUAUGAAAAUAACAUGUGCAUGAAGACUUUUCUUUUUCACUGUUGUGUAUUUUUAUAAAUCUGGCCUAUGGAUAUAUUUUAUUUAGUCACAAAUAUUGGCAGACACUAACUGGAAUGCUGAUUCCAGUUAAAACUUAUCUUUCACUUCUUUAAUGCAUCCAUUGUUUCUGUUACUCAAAUAGUAUCUUAUUAAGCAGCGUUAUUUAAUAACUGAUAUUUUCAAAAUAAUUCAUGGGUGUUAAAUUAGAGUAUAAACACAUUAGAUAGAGGUACUCAAUGUUUUGUUAGUUUAGUUAAGGUUAGGUUAGCUCUUAUGUAUUUCCACAACACUUAAUAUAUUGCCGAGCACAUAGUAACAACUCAAUUAAUCAUUGUUGAUUGAUUACAAAACAGAGAUUUAAGAUUACCACAGUGAUGAAGGAUAUAGGAGAAUUAAUUGUGUGUGUCUCCUUGAGAAACACCCUUGUAUUUUCUAAGACAGCCAGCGUGUGUUGCUGAGGUAUUAUGGAGUUUUCAGGCAUGGAGGAGUAAACAGGAAAAGAAAAAAAGUAAAAGUUGCUAGUAAAUCUUCCUGAUCCAAGGCUUUAUUCAUAUGUAGUAGCUUUUCUUGACAGUACUGAAGAAUUUUAGAGACUCUAAGGUAGAAACUAAACACAAGAAGACACAACACAACAUUGGGUUCAAAUCAAGCUCUAUCUCCCAGUAAAUUUGUGAGUUUGGGAAUUCUCUUAAGUUUUCUAAGAGUCAGUUUUCUCGUUUAUAAAAAAUGAAAUGUUACUUGCACCCAGGAUUAAAUGAAAUGAGGACUGUCCCAUUCAAGGCCAAUACAGAAAUGUUUUCAAGUGGUUUUAUGAUGCAAGUGUUGGUUACUUUCCACUAAAGAUAUAAUAAAUGAGUAUUCAUUUUACAAAAUAAUCAUUAACUUUAAAUAUGGAUUUCCAAUAAUAUUUCUUUAAGUGCUUUUUAAAUAUAAGUAUGCUUUACUUUUCUGAUUUAUGUAACCAUUUUAAUAACAUGGUUAAAUGUAUUUUGAAUUAUUCAUUUAUGGAAUUUUAAAUACACAUCCACACAUUUUACUAAAUAAAGUAAUAUUUGACUUAGAGUAACAUUUCUCUGUGUUAUAUAGACUUAGUUGUAAUAAACUGUGCUUAUAUAAAGAAAUAUGUUUUAAGUAUAAAAUAAAUAGGUUUCUAAGUCCAUCUAUGGAA
This is a long non-coding RNA of Equus asinus (donkey), 2150 nucleotides long. Lineage: Eukaryota; Metazoa; Chordata; Mammalia; Perissodactyla; Equidae. The record is from Ensembl.